CCUACGGGAGGCAGCAGUGGGGAAUAUUGCACAAUGGGGGAAAGCCUGAUGCAGCGACGCCGCGUGAGUGAUGAAGUAUUUCGGGACGUAAAGCUCUGUCAUGAGGGAAGAAAAUGAGGGUAAUUGACUAUGCAGCCCCGGCUAACUACGUGCCAGCAGCCGCGGUAAUACGUAGGGGGCACGCGUAAUCCGGAUUUACGGGGAGUAAAGGGAGCGUGGACGGGGUCUAAAAUCUUGAGUGAAAACACAUGGUUUAAACCUGGAACAUCUUUGGAAACUGGGCAGCUUGAGUGCAGGAGAGGAGAGCGGAAUGCCUAGUGUAGCGGUGAAAUGCGUAGAUAUUAGGAGGAACACCAGUGGCGAAGGCGGCUUUCUGGACUGUAACUGACGUUGAGGCUCGAAAGCGUGGGGAGCAAACAGGAUUAGAUACCCUUGUAGUC
This 440-nucleotide ribosomal RNA is filed under the name uncultured bacterium. Its description in RNAcentral is "partial 16S ribosomal RNA". It matches the Rfam family "Bacterial small subunit ribosomal RNA", at positions 338 to 795 of the family's 1533-position model. The record is from RNAcentral.